Molecule: ribosomal RNA, 253 nt
Filed under: uncultured bacterium
Lineage: Bacteria
Description: partial 16S ribosomal RNA
Rfam family: Bacterial small subunit ribosomal RNA
Source: RNAcentral
GACGUAGGGGGCCAGCGUUGUUCGGAAUUACUGGGUGUAAAGGGUUCGUAGGCGGUGCGGCAAGUUGGGAGUGAAAUCUCUGGGCUUAACCCAGAGGCUGCUUCCAAAACUGCUGUGCUUGAGUGUGGGAGAGGCGCGUGGAAUUGCAGGUGUAGCGGUGAAAUGCGUAGAUAUCUGCAGGAACACCGGUGGCGAAGGCGGGUCUCUGGGCAGUAACUGACGCUGAGGAGCGAAAGCGUGGGGAGCGAACAGG